AUUCGAGACCUUCUGGGUGGGAAGGAGGCAGCCAUGUGGUGAUCUGGGGAAGAGUGCUGCAAGCAGAAAGGCAAGUAAAAACAAAAGCCCUGAGGCAGAAAUGUGCUCCUUAUGCUUAAGAAACACCGUGAAGGCCAACGUGGUUGGAGCAAUGUGAGCAAGAAGAAUAGAGGGGCCUUGGGAACAUAGGUAGCUGAGUCCUCAUGGAUCAAGCCAGCAGGUUCUCUUCAACACCCCAGCCCUGGAGAGCCGCAGAUUGGACAACGGGCAGACUUUGUUGAACAGAUGAACAACUGUGGCUAAAUCUGUUUUGGAAAAAAAAAAAAAAAAGACCUGAAGCAAUUGAUAAACAAGAGGCUGAGGUCAGUGUGAAGGAAGAAUAAAUGAGGCCAGAUUGGAGAACGUUGAAAAGUGAUGUCUGCUGGGACAAUGGCGCACAAGCAGAGGAGAUAUUCAUCAGCUGUACAUCUGCUGUUCCUUGCUGCCCCACAAGCCCAGAAUUCUGGUUGUCUUACAAUGUUCGGAGGUUCAGUGACAUGUGUGUUUCAUCUUUGAUUGAAGGAGACAUGUGGUGAAGACUUGAAUCUGACCUGCAUCCUGGAGCCAAGUCCAGCUGAAUUCAGCUGAACCCAACCAAGUCUUAAGGAGCCCAGAUGAGAUGAGCUGAAUCUCAGUUCAUAUACAGACCCAUAAGGGAGAAAAAUAAAUGACUACCAUAAGCCACUGAUAAGUUGGGAUUAUCUGUUACAUAAUAUUAUUAUUGCAGCAAGCAAUAGCUGACUAACUCAACAUGAUUUCCUCAUGGAUUUGUGGUGUUACCAUGAUCACAUAUCAGAUUCUCUUAUGUAAAUGGGUUGUUUCUGAGUUCUCUAUUCUGUUUCAUGGUUCUGUAUGUCUGCUACUAUAAAAAAUGACCGACUUAUAAAGAAAUUUAGUCUUCCAUGUGCAUUUUAGAAUACGUUUAAAUUCCCCAAAUCUUGCUACAAGUUUGGUUUGCAUUGAAUUUAUAAACACAUUUAGAGAUAAUUGAGAUCUUAAUAACGUUACAUCAUCUUAUCCAUAAA
This 1064-nucleotide long non-coding RNA is filed under the name Homo sapiens (human). RNAcentral's name for it is "LHRI_LNC464.5". The record is from RNAcentral. Lineage: Eukaryota; Metazoa; Chordata; Mammalia; Primates; Hominidae.